ACUCCUACGGGAGGCAGCAGUGGGGAAUAUUGCACAAUGGGCGAAAGCCUGAUGCAGCCAUGCCGCGUGUGUGAAGAAGGCUCUAGGGUUGUAAAGCACUUUCAGCGAGGAGGAAAGGUUAGUCAUUAAUACUGGCUAGCUGUGACGUUACUCGCAGAAGAAGCACCGGCUAACUCCGUGCCAGCAGCCGCGGUAAUACG
Molecule: ribosomal RNA, 200 nt
Filed under: uncultured bacterium
Lineage: Bacteria
Description: partial 16S ribosomal RNA
Rfam family: Bacterial small subunit ribosomal RNA
Source: RNAcentral